CCCCUAGAUGUUCUGGGCCGCACGCGCGCUACACUGAACAGUUCAACAAGUCUUAACCUUGGCCGAUAGGUCUGGGUAAUCUUUGAACGCUGUUCGUGAUUGGGAUAGACCUUUGCAAUUAUGGGUCUUCAACGAGGAAUUCCUAGUAAACGCAAGUCAUCAGCUUGCAUUGAUUACGUCCCUGCCCUUUGUACACACCGCCCGUCGCACCUACCGAUUGAAUGGUCCGGUGAAAUCUCGGGACGGCGGCUUGGUCGCUUGCGUCCGACUGCUGAAACUUGAUUAAACCAUAUCAUUUAGAGGAAGGUGAAGUCGUANC
This 319-nucleotide ribosomal RNA is filed under the name uncultured eukaryote. RNAcentral describes it as "partial 18S ribosomal RNA". It matches the Rfam family "Eukaryotic small subunit ribosomal RNA", at positions 1470 to 1795 of the family's 1831-position model. The record is from RNAcentral.